Non-coding RNA from Podarcis lilfordi (Lilford's wall lizard), 69 nucleotides. The record is from the annotation of a GenBank genome assembly. Lineage: Eukaryota; Metazoa; Chordata; Lepidosauria; Squamata; Lacertidae.
GCUAAAGCUCAGCAGCAGAGCAUCUGCCUUGCAUUCAGAAGUUCCCAGGUUCGAUUCCUGGAACCUCCA